RNAcentral lists this long non-coding RNA (259 nucleotides) under Trifolium pratense (red clover). RNAcentral describes it as "long non-coding RNA (TPRA_LNC011240)". Lineage: Eukaryota; Viridiplantae; Streptophyta; Magnoliopsida; Fabales; Fabaceae. The record is from RNAcentral.
AUUCUGAUGUUCAUACUCAUGGUUAUCUUCUUGCACAUUCAUACUCAUUAGAUAAUCGUAGCAUGUUCAUCCUAUCCGCUAAUCAUUCAAACAAAAGACCCAUUUCCACGACACCCUUUCAACAGUUUCAUUUUGUUCCCUUAAAUUGACACACCCCAAUUUGUCCCUUUAUUAUUUACAAAAAUAAGUGUUCGAUCCUAAUUUCUCUUGUAAACAGUUAUCAGUAGCCACAUCAUCAACAGUAUGUCAUUGUCUCNNN